RNAcentral lists this ribosomal RNA (266 nucleotides) under uncultured bacterium. Its description in RNAcentral is "partial small subunit ribosomal RNA". It matches the Rfam family "Bacterial small subunit ribosomal RNA", at positions 26 to 285 of the family's 1533-position model. The record is from RNAcentral.
AGGACGAACGCUGGCGGCGUGCUUAACACAUGCAAGUGGAGCGACGAACCAGGGCUUGCCCUGGGGCAAAGCCGCGAACGGGUGAGUAACACGUGGGUAACCUGCCCCGAUGACCGGGACAACCCGAGGAAACUCGGGCUAAUACCGGAUGACUCCUUCAAGCUCAAGCCUGAAGGGAAAAGGAAGCUUCGGCCUCCGCAUUGGGAGGGGCCCGUGGCCCAUUAGCUUGUUGGUGAGGUAACGGCUCACCAAGGCUUCGACGGGUA